AACGAACGCUGGCGGCGCGCCUAAUACAUGCAAGUCGAGCGAGAAGACGUAGCAAUACGUUUGUAAAGCGGCGAACGGGUGAGGAAUACAUGGGUAACCUACCCUCGAGUGGGGAAUAACUAGCCGAAAGGUUAGCUAAUACCGCGUACGCUCCUUGGACUUCGGUUCAGGGAGGAAAGCGAUACCGUGGGUAUCGCGCUCUUGGAUGGGCUCAUGUCCUAUCAGCUUGUUGGGAGGUAACGGCUCACCAAGGCUUCGACGGGUAGCUGGUCUGAGAGGACGAUCAGCCACACUGGCACUGCGACACGGGCCAGACUCCUACGGGAGGCAGCAGUAAGGAAUAUUGCGCAAUGGGCGAAAGCCUGACGCAGCGACGCCGCGUGGGGGAUGAAGGUCUUCGGAUUGUAAACCCCUUUCGGGAGGGAAGAUGGAACGAGCAAUCGUUCGGACGGUACCUCCAGAAGC
Molecule: ribosomal RNA, 465 nt
Filed under: uncultured bacterium
Lineage: Bacteria
Description: bacterial SSU rRNA
Rfam family: Bacterial small subunit ribosomal RNA
Source: RNAcentral